Molecule: ribosomal RNA, 497 nt
Filed under: uncultured bacterium
Lineage: Bacteria
Description: partial 16S ribosomal RNA
Rfam family: Bacterial small subunit ribosomal RNA
Source: RNAcentral
GACGAACGCUGGCGGCGUGCCUAAUACAUGCAAGUUGAGCGAUGAAGAUUGGUGCUUGCACCAAUUUGAAGAGCAGCGAACGGGUGAGUAACGCGUGGGGAAUCUGCCUUUGAGCGGGGGACAACAUUUGGAAACGAAUGCUAAUACCGCAUAACAACUUUAAACAUAAGUUUUAAGUUUGAAAGAUGCAAUUGCAUCACUCAAAGAUGAUCCCGCGUUGUAUUAGCUAGUUGGUGAGGUAAAGGCUCACCAAGGCGAUGAUACAUAGCCGACCUGAGAGGGUGAUCGGCCACAUUGGGACUGAGACACGGCCCAAACUCCUACGGGAGGCAGCAGUAGGGAAUCUUCGGCAAUGGACGAAAGUCUGACCGAGCAACGCCGCGUGAGUGAAGAAGGGUUUCGGAUCGUAAAACUCUGUUGGUAGAGAAGGACGUUGGUGAGAGUGGAAAGCUCAUCAAGUGACGGUAACUACCCAGAAAGGGACGGCUAACUACGUG